This 614-nucleotide ribosomal RNA is filed under the name Termitomyces sp. Group4. Its description in RNAcentral is "eukaryotic LSU rRNA". It matches the Rfam family "Eukaryotic large subunit ribosomal RNA", at positions 1 to 613 of the family's 3401-position model. The record is from RNAcentral. Lineage: Eukaryota; Fungi; Basidiomycota; Agaricomycetes; Agaricales; Lyophyllaceae.
UUGACCUCAAAUCAGGUAGGACUACCCGCUGAACUUAAGCAUAUCAAUAAGCGGAGGAAAAGAAACUAACAAGGAUUCCCCUAGUAACUGCGAGUGAAGCGGGAAAAGCUCAAAUUUGAAAUCUGGUAGUCUUUGGCUGCCCGAGUUGUAAUCUAGAGAAGCAUUAUCUGCGCUGGACUGUGUAUAAGUGUCCUGGAAUAGACCAUCAUAGAGGGUGACAAUCCCGUCUUUGACACAGACUCCCAGUGCUUUGUGAUGUGCUCUCAAAGAGUCGAGUUGUUUGGGAAUGCAGCUCUAAAUGGGUGGUAAGUUCCAUCUAAAGCUAAAUAUUGGCGAGAGACCGAUAGCGAACAAGUACCGUGAGGGAAAGAUGAAAAGAACUUUGUAAAGAGAGUUAAACAGUACGUGAAAUUGCUGAAAGGGAAACGCUUGAAGUCAGUCGCGUUGGCUGGGGAUCAACCAUUGCUUUUGCUUGGCUUACUUCCCAGUUGACGGGUCAGCAUCAGUUUUGACCAGUGGAUAAAGGCUAGGGGAAUGUGGCACCUCCGGGUGUGUUAUAGCCCUUGGUCAUAUACAUUGAUUGGGACUGAGGAACUCAGCACUUUAAGUGCUUA